RNAcentral lists this ribosomal RNA (468 nucleotides) under uncultured bacterium. RNAcentral describes it as "partial 16S ribosomal RNA". It matches the Rfam family "Bacterial small subunit ribosomal RNA", at positions 28 to 507 of the family's 1533-position model. The record is from RNAcentral.
GACGAACGCUGGCGGCGUGCUUAACACAUGCAAGUCGAACGGAAAGGCCCUGCUUUUGUGGGGUGCUCGAGUGGCGAACGGGUGAGUAACACGUGAGUAACCUGCCCUUGACUUUGGGAUAACUUCAGGAAACUGGGGCUAAUACCGGAUAGGAGCUCCUGCUGCAUGGUGGGGGUUGGAAAGUUUCGGCGGUUGGGGAUGGACUCGCGGCUUAUCAGCUUGUUGGUGGGGUAGUGGCUUACCAAGGCUUUGACGGGUAGCCGGCCUGAGAGGGUGACCGGCCACAUUGGGACUGAGAUACGGCCCAGACUCCUACGGGAGGCAGAAGUGGGGAAUAUUGCACAAUGGGCGGAAGCCUGAUGCAGCAACGCUGCGUGCGGGAUGACGGCCUUCGGGUUGUAAACCGCUUUCGCCUGUGACGAAGCGUGAGUGACGGUAAUGGGUAAAGAAGCACCGGCUAACUACGUG